UGGGAUUUGAACUGAUAUUAAGACCAUAAACUUUUAAUCAGAGGCGAUGUCCUUUGAUGCCCACAAGCUCUGAGUCAUUCCUACCUCUGAUAGCUUGCAGAGGUAAAUAGCCAACCAACUGCUUGCCUGGAUCUCCCUGAGGUCUAGAUUCCCCAUUAGUGUGCUCAGCCUACCUAUAGACAAAUCUCUAAUAAAUACUUCUUAAGGAUGUACAAUGGGGAUAUAAAUUAGAAUGGUACUUCACUUUGGAGUCAUAGAAAUCCAGCCCCCAAUGUUUGUUUUCUCAAAAUAAUCUUUUUGGACCAGGUUGCCUCAACACCCAGGCGUUUCCAUGGUGGGUUGAACCCAUGGAACAAUAUCUUCUCCUAGGGAUUAAAGUCUUCUAUCUACUUCAUCAGUGGUUGGUAUUCUUCCUUUUCUCCAACCACCAGAGCUUAGCAGGCAAGUGAGCGUGAAGGUAGUGUUGUAAUAAUGCCUUUCUUCAUCAAGCGUUCCCAUGGCUACCAGAUGUUGAUCAAUCCCUGGUUUCCUGUGGCUGUGGCUUCCUGUUAAGUUCCUCUUCUGUGGUAUACGGCUGCCCCGCCCUGGGUGUGUGACUCCCAGUGUGACAGGCUCCAGCAGAUGCUGUGCUGGAAGUCAUUUGCUGUGUUUCUGGCAUUACGGAAGUUGCCAUUUCCCAAGGAAGUCUGCUCAGUAUGUGACUCUGAUCUCUUGCUAAGGGUGGGUGGCAUUCCUUCUUCAGGUUCCUAAUGACUUUUCCUAAUAUAGGUAAAAGGGAAAAAAAAACUACAAAGUGUAAAUUUUCUAAUCCAAACCUCAGGUUGCCCAACAGCAUCUCUUUCUGUCUUGGGAAUUCAGUAUCUGAAGAGGAAGGCCCAGCAUCACCAGAUUGAUAACUCCCCGUCUUUUCUGAACAGGAGCUAAUGGGAGAACUAAUCUAUUAUGGGUGGUCGACACUAUUAGUAGCCUUUCCAGGAACCCCCGUACCCUCUCCUUUUCCUUAUUGGACAAGUCCUUCUUCUACAGAAAAUGCCAGUUAGUCUUUCUCCAGGCCCCUUUGCAAUCAGUAAGUGCAUAAGCAGGUAACUCAGUACUGGGCCAUGGGACUGGAGAGGAUGUCUGCUAGGCCUUGGAGAAAGGCUUCUCUCCCUAGAAGAGAGAAAGCAUCCUGUUUUCCUUUCUGAAGUGAUUAUAUCCGCAUGUGACCCCUGGAGCUGCUAUAGUCUUUUGGAGCCUUGAGGUAGUCAUCAGUGUCAUAUUGCGAAGGCCAGAGCUCAAAGAGGAAAAAUACCUGGUCCUUGAGCUGUUGCCAAACUCAGGAACUGCCACUCCUUGGUUUUCUUGUUGUAAUGAUAGUAAUAACAGCCAGAAAAGCUAUUAUGUGCCAGAUACUUUUAAGUAUUACGUGAGCUUGUAACUGUAUUGUUAAACUGUACAUUUUAGUUAAAUGUUUCUGCUAUUUGCAACUGAAUACACCUUGACUGAUAUACUUGACAACUAGAGAUACUGUUCUCUUCUAAGCCUUAAAAGUCUUAGAGUUGCCUCUUGGGAAGCAGGCCUCAAUCUGUGCCCUCCAAAAUAUAUGGUCCACUCAUCAUGGGAGGAAUCCUCUUUUCCCAGGCCUCAUCAAUGAAACCCUUUCAUGUAUGCCAGGAUCCUAAAGUCUACACAUAAAGCGUCCUGGAACAGCUGGGUAUGAGCUUGCCAUGGCCUUUACUUCUGGCCUGGUCACUUCUCAGUUACACAGACAACAAGAGUUAGUACACAUAUAGCUCCUGGAGGGCCACUCUCUCACAAAAACAUCUAAAUAUGAAGGCCAAGACUGAAGAUGGGGGAAAUAUUUCUAAGAACCCCCCAUUAUUCUCAGCCUUGGUUUUAAUACUUCAAGCAGUCAGAUUACUCCAGAAGGCUCAGGCUCCUCCAAGGACCAGUAAAUUAGUUCACUGCAGCAAAUGUUUAUCUGGACAUAUCUCUCCAUAGCAAUCAUUUUCCUGGUCCACACUCCACUUGAAAAUACCCUGCAUAUGUUAUAUACUUUGUAUAUAAUAAAAUAAACACCAUCAUCAAAGAGCUCUAUAAACUGUAAAAUAUUAUACAGAUAUAAUUUUAUAAGAUGACAAAGAUUUAUUCAUCACCUUCUUUCAACAUUGGAAGCUCUGGGUCCUAGGAAUAUAUGUAUAUGUAUAUAUGGUAGUUUGUUUUAUUACCUUAUUCAAUUGUCAACAUAACCUGCUUUGCUACCAAAUACAUUGGCUGUGUAAGAACUGGUAAUGUUUUCUUUUAUUGCAAUUGAAUGUAUCUCACAUUUUAUUAACAAUUAUUACUAAUAUUUGGUCACCAGUUUGCAAUUUGCCUUAUAAUUUUUACAUAUGUUAUCUCACAUAAAUCUCAGAACAACCUCCAUUAAAAAUGAAAACAUUGAGGCUCAGACUUGCCCAAGAUGACUCAGCUAAAAAGUGAUGAGGUUAGUAAAGGCGCCAGGUUCUCAGGCCAAGGAAAGUUCUUUCUGCUACAAAGCUCUGACUUCCCUUUACAUCACACAUGUCUUUAAGAUUGAAUAGGGAGCACAGGGCUAUGCCUGGGAGUUCAGUAAAGGGCAAUAAGCAUGCUGAAGGUGAGCUUGGCAAGAUCUUUCAGGGCUACAAUGGCUGUGGGAGAGACUUAAGGAAUUAGUGAUAUCCUGAAAGACCAAUGGACUUUGGCGGCUUUAGGAACGGCGUAAAUACAAUGGUGCUGGUGAUUGAGAGCGGCAUGGAUUGGUGUGCAAACACUCUGAAAGCAACGGUGAGGAACAAAUGCAAUUUGGUUGACUGGCAGUAGGAUAAGAACUUCCCGGAACUGUCCUGACUGAUGCUGAAGAAACUUGGGAACUCUGUCUAACCUCCUCUAACUCACAAGGGGGAAGGAGAACUCAGACUAACAUCCCAAGGCUGAGUCCUAUGAGGCACUGGGGUUAAAAACAGUGAAACAGUGAACAAGACAGACAAAAAUGAAGGCACCAAGUCUCAGAAAGUGGAAGGCGAGUUUGUCCCUGGAGAUUUCACCGCUUGCAGGAUAGUGCCCCCUGGUGGACUCCAGGAGCAGUCGGCUGGCCCAACUGUAAAGACAGGCUUUUGCCAGCCUCCUGCUGUAUGAGUAAAGAAACCAAGGGAGUCUAAGGGGAUCCUUGAUGUAAAUCUGAAUGCAGGACCAUUCCAAAGGUCAAUCUGAAAAGCAAAAGCUUCCGUUGUCCCUUCUAAAAUUCAGAAGCAAAUGGCAAAAAUCUUGCUCCAGAGAACUUCUGGGAUUCACGAAAACAUGCAAGAGAACAUCAGUGCCUGUCUUCCACAUUUCUAUUCACUUGCCAUGACAGUCUUCGCCCUGUCCCAUUUCCAAACCUAAUCCUACCAGCACUGGGAGCAUUUCAGCAUUUUUGGCCCAAUAUUUGUUGAAGGCUAAACUGAGUUUCACUGCCACUAACUCUGAAUCCAAAGUUCUGGGGUGUGCUAUGGUGCCCAGAGCUUUCACUGACCCCAGCCAUGGGGUGCAGCAGGUGACAAGUGCCUGGCACACAGUGCGCAUCUGAUGAACGAAUGAUUUUCUCACGUGUAGGUUUGGCUAUACAUCCCACUAUUUCCUGUCAGUAUUUUCUCAGGAUGGAAACAGCCUGAAUAUCAGCACAAGCAAACCCAGGAGGAUCAAUCAGCUGCAAAAUUAUUAUGCAAAGCAUCCGUGAGCCAAAUAUAAAUGACUUUUGGAUUAUCUGAUGUUAUGUUUCUUCUGCAUCGCUGCCUCUUCAUCAGUGUGAAUACGCAACAGAUAGGUGAGCUAGGCAAUCAAGUGCCUGCUUCACCAUUAAGGAGCCCAAGAAAAUAGAAACAUUCCAAAUUAUUUUAGAAUGGACUUCUUAUUAAUGUUACUACAUUUAUGCUCUUGAACAUCGUACUAUAAGGCACUUGGGGAUUUUUAAGUUGAAUUUAUUGUGAUUAAACUUACUGGUAUCUUAAUUAGGGAAGGAAAAUGUGUCAGGGCUUGUGUAUCAAAUUUUUGUCCAUCCAUCUGCCCAUUUAUCCAUCUCCGCAUAUAUCCAUCUAUUCUACAAAUAUUUAGGGAGAUACUGCUGUAUGCUUGUGUGCAUUGGCUGAUGCUGUGAAGAUUUCUUCAAUUUCUUCAAGAAAUAUUCAAGCAAAUAGAGAUCUCUUUAAGAAAUAUUUAUCGAGCACAUAAUUUUCCAGAUGAGGUGUUGUCAAAAUAUAGUUCAUAGCAAGACUGACAUGGUCCUGGACCUAAAUGAAUGUAAUGCAGCAUACAUCAUCAAUAUAUUCCAACUUAUUCUAUUUGGGGGCAUCAAAGGAUUAGGUUAAAUAUAUUCAAAAUAUGAUGUCUCUCAUUAAAUUUAUUACUGUUAUUUGGUGCUAUUUGCAUGUAUUGUAGAUCAACUCAAAUUCCUCUGAAAUGCAUGAAGAAUUUGUUCCAAAUUAAUUUGGUAUAGCAGUGACUGGCUAGCUGUUCUGGGCACAUCACUGGACUAUAUUUCCCAGCCUCUUUUGCACUAUAGGUGUAGCUACAUGACUGAGUGUUGGCCAAUGGGACGUGGGCAAAAGACAGGUACAUUAUUUCUGGACCUCUCAUGUGGUCCUUCACCCUUUCUCCUUCCCUGUUAGCUGGCUGGAAGCUGACACCCAGUUUAACAUUGGAAGCUUUGUAUGGAAGAUGACUCUGUCAGCUUGGAAUCCUGAAUGACUAUAUGGAGUCCAACAACCAUGACUACCACCCACUCCAGCCAAUUGGACUUCAUGUGGGUGACAGAUAAAAUCCUAUUGUGUUAAACCACCAAGGUUUGAGAAUUUGUCUGUGACAGUUGAUUUCUUAUGUGGGUCAGGUUUUGAACAUUUCUCUGUGCAUUUCAGUGGCUUUUUAUAAGUUCAAUUUAUUUCCUGCCUUCUGAUGCCAAAUCAACUCUCUACUUCCAGCUCUUCCUUCUGUUGUAGUUUCUACCUAUAGGAAGAGCUAAGUCCAGACCUUGUUAAAAGGGAGAUGAGCAUUUAUUGAAGAGAGGCUGUGAUGGUUAAAUGUUGCAUGUCAAGUUGGCUGGGCCAUGAUUUUCAGUAGUUUGGCAGUUAUAUAAUGAUGUAAUCAUCCUCCAUGAUGUUAUCAGCCAAUCAGUUGUAAGGGGAGUUUCUUCAGGAGUGUGGUCCACAUCCAAAAUACAUAUGGAUGUUCUGGUAAAAUUUGCUUGCUUGCUAUGGAUCCUGCAUCCAGCUCACCAUCAUCUGGCCUCUGGUUCUUGGAAUUUGAGCCAACGGCCUGCCAUACUGCCUGCUGAUCUUGGAAUUUGCCAGCCUCCACAGCCCAUGAGCCAGCAGCCUGCUCUCUGACCUGUCUGUCUUGGGUUUUUCAGUCCCUACAGCUAUGUGAGUCAGGAGAAGUCUCCAGCCUGACACCUGACUCACGAAACAGACCUGGGACUUGCCAGCCUCUACAACUGUGUGAGCCAUUUCCCUGUGAUAAAUCUACUUUGUGCACUGUCUCUAUAUAUAGGCUUUGUUGGUUUUGCUUCUCUAGAGAACCCAGCCUAAGACAGAGGCAUAUGACACAAGCCAGAUGUACAUUAAAUGCAUAGAGAAGUAACUAAAGAAUAUUUAGAAUGGGAGAGAUUUGGAGAGAAAUGUGGACCACUGUCUGAAGCAGUUUUUUUUUUUUUUUUAAUUACUGUGGUAAGAUAUAUGUAAGAAAACAUUUGCCAUUUCCACUGUGUACAGUUCAGUGACAUUAGUUACAUUCGUCAUAUUAGCGGUUUACCAUGGGGCAAUUUUUUAGCAGGAACAAAUACCCCGAGAGUUCUAUAUUCAUUUAGCAAGCACACAGUCUUACAUAGCAUCAGAGUAAUAGAAUCUAGAUCCUGUUCCCUGCGUAUGAAGAAGGUAUCUUCCAAUCAAAAUAAAUGUCUAUGAGACAUGUGUUAAUCCUUCCCAAGGGAGUAGUAGUUCCAUUAUAAUUAAAAUGCCACCACUUUUCAGUUUGUUGGAGUCCUGUGAUCCAGGCAUUUUCAUUGUAUUCCCUUUCUUUUGUCGGUUUCUGUUCUACAAUGAUAAAACAUUUGAAAUUCUGGUAUUGAAUUCCAUCCCCUCGUGAGACUUUCCCAUUUAGAGACCUGGCUCUUUAGCAGUGCCAAAGUUUUAGCUUCUAAAAUUCAGAUGCAGAGAUUUAAAACCAGUGACAAUCUGGGCAGAUGUCAGUGGGUGAGAGGUUUCCACAACCAGUUCUCAUAAAGCACGUGUCCACGCUGCACUGUGGCUUCUAAUCCACAAAUAAAGCACAGAUCCUACUGCGAUCAUGUCCAAAGGCAGAUAUUUUAUUCAAAUAAUCUCAUACUGCUCUGUGGGAAAUACUAUUUUCAUUAUGUUUGCAAACAUGUUAGCAUCCAUUAAAAUGUGCACUGCCUGCAAGAAAGAUUCAUGGUGAGCUCUUCCAGUUCAAGGACAUAUUUGUGAACAGCUUUCAUGAGACAGAAGUUUAUAACAUGGUGGUUUGAAGUGUGUACUGUUUUACGUUACUGCUCUCAUUAGAAAGUUUCAGUGUACAGGAGUCUGGGGUACUUUCCAUCCCUCCAGCCAUCUGACAGGGCCAAGCCUUUGACAGGCUUUGCAAUUUAUCAGUUUAUAUUUUAGGAGGUUUCGGUGUGUGCCACACCUGUCAACUUAUAAACAAGGAAGCGGGUUGAAACAUGGGCUCCAGCUCAGGAGGAAUCCAGAAAGGCAGUUUUGUCUCAGCUGGUACCUGGGAAUAAGCAGCAUUUUUGUCUUUUCUCCAUGGAAAAUGCAUUAUGAUUUGAAGGUAAUUCAUUAAACAAAUAUCUUGUAACUAUAGAAUUGUAUAAACUACAGGAUUUGAGAAUUAGAAACACCUCAAGAUCCCCUUUUCCAUGUGUAGGACUUCAUUCCAUUCUUAUUUUUGGUUCUAUGCUUUUCUUUUUAUUUUCUUUACUAUCCCAUGCAUGGUAUCCUUAUGUAUUUCAAUAUUUUUGAAGCCUUUCCUUUUGUUUCUAUAUUAUUUUUCUUCUGUCUUAUGUUCUUAUGCUCUGUGGGCUGUUUAGAUUUUCCUCUUGUCUUAAUGACUUCAUACCCUGCUUUGCUGCGAACAUGCUUUCUCCUUUUCCUCUCUGUAUCUUUGUAUUGCCCAUCUAGGUAUUCUUCUGUUAUACAAUGGAUGUGAUACUAAAAAAUUGAAAGCAGAAAGUGUUUAUAAAUUGAAUCUAACUUUUAUGUAGACUUAUAUUAUGUUUUCAAAGAUGUCCAGUAUUAGUUUGGUAAAAUGCUAUCUAGUUUGAGGUACAGCUAGAGUAGUCUUUUUUUUUUUUUCUCCUAGAUGAAUAAUUAUACAGAGGCAGAGGCUCAUUAAGUGUGGAUAAAAGCUUAAGCAAACUUUAAUUUCUAACACCUGCAUUCAUACAUGCAUAAACAUGCACACACUACACAUACACACAUGCAUGCACUACUCACACACACACAUGCACACACUUGUCCUUCCUGGUAAUGGCCAGGUGAGCAAAGGCUUGAAAACUAAUCCUAUCAAGAGCGAAUGGUGCUCUUGAUCAAAAGGAGUAAAAGUGUGGAACAGGGCUUCACAUUUUUAUUGGAAACCAGACUUACUGGAUACAUUGAGAUUGGAGGAACUCCCAAAUCUAUUGCCUUGACACAACUUUUAAGCCUUGAACUGAAACUAUCCCAUGAAGUCAUCUUAAAAUAAACAACAAUUUAACUCGAUUAAUAAAGAAGGUUCAUCUUGAACAUUGUGCUCUUUUUAAAGAAUUAUCUAUGUGAGAUUAAAUGGACAACAGUAACUCUAAAACACAAAUGAGAACUUUAACGGGCAGAGUCUAAAUUAACGAUGGUGAAAUAAUAUGGGCAGAGAUAAGGAGAACGGUGACGCAAUGUGAAGUAUGUAACCAUUGUCAAUGAGCUAUACAUGUAAAAAUUGUUGAAUGAUUAUGUUUUGUUGGGUGUAUUUUCACCAAAAAUGAAAAUAAUAAAUUUUUACUUAAAAGUUUUUGGAAAAAAAAACAAGAGUGGCUGGUGUUCAGUGGUGGGUUGGUUGGCCGAAGUCCUUAAAAAUUUGAGUCCAGAUACAUAGGUUUACCAUCACCCCACACUCAGGCAAAAUAUCCCAUCUAUCCUUAAAAAUUAUGCUAAGUGACAAAUCACAUCUUUGAUUUUAGAAGAGGCCUUGAAAGCUAAAACCAAACUGCUGUGCUAUUGUUAAAUUGUAUAAGUCAUGUUUGUAUAUUAGGCUUUGACUUCUUUUGGAGACAGUCUGGUGACCAAAGGAAGAAAAUUUCACCCUUGUUAGGCUCUAGAUUGGCAGAGCCUAGGCCCGUGGAAGAGAGAAGCGUCCCAGGGAUUCCUUACCAAGAC
This is a long non-coding RNA of Loxodonta africana (African savanna elephant), 8393 nucleotides long. RefSeq lists it as uncharacterized. NCBI's taxonomy places the organism in Eukaryota, Metazoa, Chordata, Mammalia, Proboscidea, Elephantidae. The transcript is spliced from 7 exons. The record is from RefSeq and is a predicted model, not a curated record.